Molecule: RNase P RNA, 361 nt
Filed under: Pseudodesulfovibrio alkaliphilus
Lineage: Bacteria; Pseudomonadati; Thermodesulfobacteriota; Desulfovibrionia; Desulfovibrionales; Desulfovibrionaceae
Description: Bacterial RNase P class A
Rfam family: Bacterial RNase P class A
About the family: Ribonuclease P (RNase P) is a ubiquitous endoribonuclease, found in archaea, bacteria and eukarya as well as chloroplasts and mitochondria. Its best characterised activity is the generation of mature 5'-ends of tRNAs by cleaving the 5'-leader elements of precursor-tRNAs.
Source: Rfam by way of RNAcentral
GGAGCCGGACAGGCUGUCGCUGCGAUCAUUGAUCGGAGAGGAAAGUCCGGGCUCCACAGGGCAGGACGCUGGGUAACGCCCAGGGGGAGCGAUCCCCGUCAAGUGCAACAGAAAGCAGACCGCCUCCGGGGAAACCCGGCGGCAAGGGUGAAACGGUGGGGUAAGAGCCCACCGGCUGUCGUGGCGACACGGCAGGCCAGGUGAACUCCGUUCGGAGCAAGACCAAAUAGGGUAGCGUACGAGGCCGGCCCGGCCCAGGCUACCGGGUAGGUUGCUUGAGGCGGCUGGUAACAGCCGUCCUAGAGGAAUGACAGCCGCCCCCUCGGGGGCACAGAACCCGGCUUAUCGGCCGACUCCAAAC